UCACAGGAUCUGCACUGUUGCAGCAACUGU
RNAcentral lists this non-coding RNA (30 nucleotides) under Rattus norvegicus (Norway rat). The record is from RNAcentral. Lineage: Eukaryota; Metazoa; Chordata; Mammalia; Rodentia; Muridae.